CUAAGAGGGUUGAGGAAAACCUUUUCUUCACCUAUAGCAGUAAUCUGGAAAAGACAAAAAGGGGCUUCUGGAGUAUUGACUCCAUGCCCAGUGCGGAGCACAACAUGGGACUUGAACUCACCACCCUGAGAUCAAGACCUGAGCUGAGAGCAAGAGUCACAUGGUCAACCGAUUGCACCACCCAGUUAAAUGACUCCAUUUCCUUCUGGAUGGAGGAAUUUGUGCAA
Molecule: long non-coding RNA, 227 nt
Organism: Nyctereutes procyonoides (raccoon dog)
Lineage: Eukaryota; Metazoa; Chordata; Mammalia; Carnivora; Canidae
Exons: 3
Source: RefSeq, a predicted model, not a curated record